This 504-nucleotide ribosomal RNA is filed under the name uncultured Alphaproteobacteria bacterium. RNAcentral's name for it is "bacterial SSU rRNA". It matches the Rfam family "Bacterial small subunit ribosomal RNA", at positions 35 to 585 of the family's 1533-position model. Lineage: Bacteria; Pseudomonadati; Pseudomonadota; Alphaproteobacteria. The record is from RNAcentral.
GCUGGCGGCACGCCUAACACAUGCAAGUCGAACGCAGUAGCAAUACUGAGUGGCAAACGGGUGAGUAUAAUGUGGGAAUCUGCCUUUUGGUUCGGAAUAACACGAGGAAACUUGUGCUAAUACCGGAUAAGCCCUUACGGGGAAAGUUUUAAUGCCAAAAGAUGAGCCCGCACUUGAUUAGCUAGUUGGUAAGGUAAUGGCUUACCAAGGCAACGAUCAAUAGCUGUUCUUAGAGGAAGACCAGCCACAUUGGGACUGAGACACGGCCCAAACUCCUACGGGAGGCAGCAGUGGGGAAUCUUGCACAAUGGGGGAAACCCUGAUGCAGCGAUGCCGCGUGAGUGAAGAAGGCCCUUGGGUUGUAAAACUCUUUCGUCGGGGAAGAAAAUGACUGUACCCGAAUAAGAAGGUCCGGCUAACUUCGUGCCAGCAGCCGCGGUAAUACGAAGGGACCUAGCGUAGUUCGGAAUUACUGGGCUUAAAGAGUUCGUAGGUGGUUAAAAA